Toxorhynchites rutilus septentrionalis is the source of this 843-nucleotide long non-coding RNA. RefSeq lists it as uncharacterized. NCBI's taxonomy places the organism in Eukaryota, Metazoa, Arthropoda, Insecta, Diptera, Culicidae. The transcript is spliced from 2 exons. The record is from RefSeq and is a predicted model, not a curated record.
AAAGCACAAUCGCUUGAAAUUCUGGAUAUCACUCGAAUAAACUCGCUUUUCGGAUAGUUCUAUCACGCUUUAUGAUGGACGGCAAGCAAGAAAAAAAAUCUCAGCCGGCGAAACAACAAUCACUCGGAAAUCAGUGAAAAAAAGGGAUGCUCCCACAGCAGUUAGCGUCGGAAGAAAACCUCGACAUUCGGCGUUUGGCGAAUUGGCCUUGACCUUCGUUAGCCACGUUUGAGUCCAGCAGUUCGAGCCUUUAAAUAGCUCCAGAAAUAGCAUCGAGGCAUAAUUCUAGGAGAAUCGAUGGUUACGGUUAUAUUCAUUUAUUGUAUCGAAUCAUGAAAUGCCCUGCGGCAACUCGGGCUUUCUACAUCGCUUAGGCUCUUCAACUUGGAUUUUAUUUCUAAGAUCGAACUGGAUAGUGCCAAUAGUCGUGUGAUUUGAACUGACGGUACUUAUAACCAAUCUCAACCAAUUAAGAUGGGCUCUUUGGAGGGAAAAAUCUCUCAUCAUUUUUCAUCGGAAGGAAAGUAAUGCAUUUCCUAUGGAGCGGUGGUGGUGCAGUUACUUUGUAGCGAAAACGGUGUAUGGUAAUCUCGUGAAUACGUUAAUAUUCUAUACUACUGCCGACUUCCGAGUUCACUGUGGCUGAAAAAAAGCGUUCUACCAAUUCCAUCAUUCUUUAUACUCCUUAGUUUCAGUGAUGACAAUUCUUGAAUGCCCAAACCGUCGAAUAGACUGCGGAUAAACGAUUACUCGAGCAAAAACUCAGAAUAAAUCGAUACCAUGUACAUUCAACAACCUUUAGAGCAUUCAAACAUUGUAAUAAUAAUGUAGCUCAUUAAAGUA